CCUANGGGAGGCAGCAGUGGGGAAUUUUGGACAAUGGGGGAAACCCUGAUCCAGCAACGCCGCGUGAGUGAUGAAGGCCUUCGGGUCGUAAAGCUCUGUCAAGUGGAACGAUGGGUUUCAAAGCUAAUAUCUUUGAAAUUUGACGGUACCACUGGAGGAAGUCACGGCUAACUACGUGCCAGCAGCCGCGGUAAUACGUAGGUGGCAAGCAUUGUUCGGAUUUACUAGGCGUAAAGGGAGCGUAGGUGGCUUUGUAAGUUGGAAGUGAAAUUCCACAGCUUAACUGUGGAACUGCUUCCAAGACUGCUUAGCUUGAGUAUAGGAGAGGGAAAUGGAAUUCCUGGUGUAGCGGUGAAAUGCGUAGAUAUCAGGAAGAACACCGGUGGCGAAGGCGAUUUCCUGGCCUAACACUGACACUGAGGCUCGAAAGCUAGGGGAGCAAACAGGAUUAGAUACCCCGNUANUC
Molecule: ribosomal RNA, 466 nt
Filed under: uncultured bacterium
Lineage: Bacteria
Description: bacterial SSU rRNA
Rfam family: Bacterial small subunit ribosomal RNA
Source: RNAcentral